UAAAACACCAAAUACUGCUCAACAUGAAAGGACACGCAUCCACUUGGGUGUCGCUUAGUGAUCAAUGAAAUGAAUUGAGCACCUUGAGGUCCCAGGUUCAAAUUUCAAGUCCAGAGACAAAAAAACACUAGGUGAUUUCUUUCCAUCUGUUCUACCCAGAGUUACCUAGUGGGAGGUGCCAGGUAUCCAUGGAAUUAAUUAAGGUGCUCAAAA
Molecule: unclassified non-coding RNA, 213 nt
Filed under: Hevea brasiliensis (rubber tree)
Lineage: Eukaryota; Viridiplantae; Streptophyta; Magnoliopsida; Malpighiales; Euphorbiaceae
Source: RNAcentral